CCCGCCUCUGCUGUUGAAAGAUUGGCUGAACAGCUGUUGGGCUCGGCCUCUGCUGCUCUCUACUUUAUAAAGCUGGGAACACCAGGCUCCGUCAAACAGAGAUAGCGCGAAGCUCCUGCUUGUUUAAUUUACUGGUUCAGCGAAACUUUACUUUGAGAACUUCUGUCAACUAUUUCAGAGAAACUAGUCCGCCAUCUGUUUGACUAGUCUAGACCCUCCGCAGCAGUAUGGCUACCUUCGUCUCGAUGGCUACCUGCCACACCUAUAACAACACGUCCAGGCACAACGGUGUCAACAGGGACUUCAUGGCCGCUCUCUCCAAGAGCCACGGGAGCACAGGCAAACGCAACAGUCCCCAGUCGACCAACAGAAACAAUGCCAUGGGCAUACCAAAGUCUGCCCCCAAUGACAAGACACCCUGCAGUACGCCAAGGUCGAUAUCCUCUGAGACCAGCAGUUCCUCCUUGGCCUCCAAGCCCGCCAGUGUGAAGAAGUCUACCUUCUCCCGCCUCAAGAGGUUCCUCAUGCUGGAAGACAACCAGAAGACCAAGGGGAGGACUCAAAGACUUUACUAUCCUCCCUCUGAAUGACUGACAAACACUUGGCUCCACUGCAAUGACCCAACAGUCAGCCUUUUCACCACCAUGAUAUGACACUGACGCACCAGGCUCUCUGGCCUGCUUGCAAUUCAGAAUGGGCCUCCUGGAAUUCAGAACGGGGGAUGGGUCAGCAGUCAGUCAAUAAGUAAUACAGGGCCUCCUGUUGCACUAACUUUUUUUUAAUAUAUAUUUUUUUAACUUGCCCCUCCCAACUACCCCUGAGGUCCCCCUUCCGUAGAGCUGUUCAAACAUAAUGGCCCCACACCACGGCAUCGUCCAGGAAUUCCAUUGUCCCUAUGGAUGGCGGGAACUGAAUAGGAAGCAAAGCUCCCCCUUUUCUUCCAUGUUAUUUAUGAGGCAAGCAGAAUAACUUAAUUCGAGUUAUAGGAUGUUUUGAUUGAGAGGGUGAUUUUUAUUUGUUACAAUCACAUUUCUAUGAUAAAUUACUUACACAUUUAUAUUCACGCUUAAGUUUCAUGCUUCUUGAACUUUGUUUAUUUUUUACUUGGUUGUCAUUUAUUUUCAUAGACUUUCCCACUCUUCUCUUGAGGUUACUAUCCAAGUAGAGAUGAUCUGUAGCUGUUUACAGGUUUGUUUGUGUGGCUCUACUAUUUUAUGAUCACUGCCAAAUGUUUUACUUUUAUGUAAAGGUCCAAUUUUUGUGUACUGGUGGUUUUGAGAUCAUAUUUGGAUGAAUGGGACGCAUCAACUUAACAUUGAAAUUGUUUAUAUGCCUGAACCUUAAUGACAAUGCAAACGUGACUUUCUUUCAGUGGUUUCAUGUUUGUUGAAGAUGGGUUUUGCUGUUUGAAGGCUUCACCUUUUACCUGUUUUGAAGUUGUUUUUUUAAUGUUUGGAUUUACAAUGUCAAUUAGACUGCUUUUGUUCCAACACACUUUAUUGCAUUUAGUGACAUGUUUAAUUAAUCCAAUGUGUGAGUCUGUAGCAUUUCACAGAAUACUGAAAUACCUCACAUUUUAUAUUCCUUUUACACCUUGCUUCUGUGAAAUGAAAAUGUUUUUAGGGAUUCUUAUUACUGUGUUACAUGAUAGAAUUUCAAGAAGAUAUGUCUACCCAAUUGUCAUACUUGAGGAAAAGUAAGGAUACUUUAAUAGAAAAUUCCUCACGUGAAAUUCACCCAGUAAAAUAUUACUUGAGUAAAAAUCUAAAAGUAUUUGGUUUUAAAUGUACUUUUAUCAAAAUUAUAAGUAACUUUAAUUCCUUUAAGCAAACCAGAUGGUGCCAUUUUGUUAUUCAUGGCUCACCAGGGGCACACUCCAACACUCAGACAUCAUUUACAAAUUGUGUUUAGUGAGUCCGUCAGCUCAGAGGCAGUACGGAUGACCGGGGGGGUUCUCUUGAUGACUGUGUGAAUUGUAUCUUUUCCUGUCCUGUUAAGCAUUAAAACUGUAACGAGUACUUUUGGGUGUUGGGGGGCGGAGAAUGUGUGGAGUAAAAAGUACAUUGUUCUUUUAGGAAUGUAGUGAUGUAAAGUACAGAUACUGUAAAAAUACUUUGAAUUACUACUUAACUUUCCUACUCUGGCAUUCACAAUGUGUGUUUUCAGCUUACACAUUUUUAAGUGCUACAGAACAUUAAGGGUACCCCACUACAUGUUCUGAUAAACACCUCAGGAA
Molecule: RNA transcript, 2236 nt
Organism: Oncorhynchus mykiss (rainbow trout)
Lineage: Eukaryota; Metazoa; Chordata; Actinopteri; Salmoniformes; Salmonidae
Source: RefSeq, a predicted model, not a curated record